This 513-nucleotide ribosomal RNA is filed under the name uncultured bacterium. RNAcentral's name for it is "partial 16S ribosomal RNA". It matches the Rfam family "Bacterial small subunit ribosomal RNA", at positions 28 to 523 of the family's 1533-position model. The record is from RNAcentral.
GACGAACGCUGGCGGCGUGCCUAAUACAUGCAAGUCGAGCGGACUAAUGGGAGCUUGCUCCCGUUAGUUAGCGGCGGACGGGUGAGUAACACGUGGGCAACCUACCUGUAAGACUGGGAUAACUUCGGGAAACCGGAGCUAAUACCGGACGACAUAAAGGAACUCCUGCUCCUUUAUUGAAAGAUGGCUUCGGCUAUCACUUACAGAUGGCCCCGCGGCGCAUUAGCUAGUUGGUGAGGUAACGGCUCACCAAGGCGACGAUGCGUAGCCGACCUGAGAGGGUGAUCGGCCACACUGGGACUGAGACACGGCCCAGACUCCUACGGGAGGCAGCAGUAGGGAAUCUUCCGCAAUGGACGAAAGUCUGACGGAGCAACGCCGCGUGAGCGAUGAAGGCCUUCGGGUCGUAAAGCUCUGUUGUUAGGGAAGAAUAAGUGCUAGUUAAAUAAGCUGGCACCUUGACGGUACCUAACCAGAAAGCCACGGCUAACUACGUGCCAGCAGCCGCGGUAA